Molecule: long non-coding RNA, 1762 nt
Organism: Corticium candelabrum
Lineage: Eukaryota; Metazoa; Porifera; Homoscleromorpha; Homosclerophorida; Plakinidae
Exons: 3
Source: RefSeq, a predicted model, not a curated record
UCUUGCAAUUACGCCACUCUUUGUCUUUAAACUGUUCAGGUCAGUUGCUCUUCACCGUGCUCUACUAAGCCUGGCAGUGAUCUGCAUCAAGUGAAUUCGAUAUAUCUUCCGAUUGGUUCAGAGACUUUGUCGAUGCAGAUGUUUGAGAUGCUGGUGAAGAAGAGAGGAACACUGUAUUUGUCUUUGCUUAUGACUAUGAUUUGCAACGUCAUUUUGACUGUAUCAUCAACUGACACGAAUGACAACAACAGCAUGUGCAUUGGUGAAAAGGGAGAAAAGGGAGACGUUGGCCAUCAGGGUCCUCAAGGCGUGCGCGUAAGUGUUUCGUCGCUCAAAAAUUUUGGAAAUUGUGCAUGAGUGCUAGAAGAGUAUACCAGAUUUAGCUAUCCACUAUUGCACAUGCAUCCACGUGUGUCAAACGUCGUGUCUCUAAUUACGUGUAAAUGGUGUGAAAAGUGUCACUUUAUUAGCUAAUUAGAGGUGUACACUACAACACAUCUAAUUUAAAAUACGCUGCUCUUGCUCGAUCAAUUAACAGUUCAGCUAUUGCUAACUAUUCUUCUCUUUACAAUGUGUACGACUAUGACGGUCGACGAAGCCUUGCGACGCCGGCAAAGCCGUUCUGCUGGAUAGGUGUCAAACGCCGACGCUCCCGCUAAUAUGGAGACAGCGUCUGAGACUCCAACUUACUGCUAGCCCCGCCCCAGAUGCAGAGUGUGGUUUGCAGCCUCGGAUUGUCUGUCAUCACCUCUGCCUCUGUUUCGGUAUCGCCACUUGCUGUCAGCGAUAAUCAUGCAAAUGUAGUUGUCGGCGUAGUAGGAAACGAGUGUAGCGUUAGAUCUUCGAUCGCUAGAUAACGUGCAGUACUUCAGUCCAAUGCAUUUCAGUGGAGCCGUAGGAUGCAUUGCUGCUUCAACUGCGAAGCUGUGUACGCGUACAAAGACGUGCAAGUACCAUUUCUGAUCAACCAAUUCACCGCUACGCACCCACUUGCAAACGCUUGACAGCAGCUCAGAACCGCAAUGUCGACAAGCACAGAGUCCAGAACAACGUCAAAGUCCAAUGGAAAGCUCAGUUCAUUGCUAAUAUACUUAUUAUGACUUAAUCAAAACGUUGAAACAGGUUCUUGAGCAUCUUGUCGAACAGACAUCAGCUUGCGUUUAAAAUGACGUGCAGGGUUUUUUGGACCAAAAUUGAGCAGAUAACCUUGAAUCUGUCCCAUGUAGCUCCUUCUGCUGUUACAGUAGACAAAAAACGCGAUACUUGGCACGAGCGCGUCCAGCAAGCGCGACAGUGGCGUGUCGUAAAAGGUGAGCUGGUGUCAAACUUCGCAGAUUCGAGACAGCAUGAACAUGGAACAGCCAACUGUUGAUGUCUUCUCCGUCGUUUCCGCAGAAUGUAUCUUGCUGAACGGGGACUAAUAAGCGACGAACAAGCUCACCUGUAUCGUGGCCACUGAUGGGGUCAGGAAUGACAGAACGAACUGACGGCGUACGAGUAUGAGCUCUUCGGCUUCUCGACUUCGGCAUAGCUAAGAACUUGAACCUCUGACAAGUAAACAAAUCGGUUCUCCACCAAACGUGAUGAGAGGCUGUGGAAGUACACAGGGAUCGUACAGUAGACGAAAAGCAAUGUAUUGUGGAGUGAACUUCCGAAAUAGUCCUAGUAUGGAAGUAAUCGUAGCUACUCUCUACGAACAUGAACAUAAUUGCUCUACACUAUUAUUAAUUAUUAAAAUUGAUUUGAUUACAUACUUGCUCCC